This 473-nucleotide ribosomal RNA is filed under the name uncultured bacterium. RNAcentral describes it as "bacterial SSU rRNA". It matches the Rfam family "Bacterial small subunit ribosomal RNA", at positions 328 to 793 of the family's 1533-position model. The record is from RNAcentral.
CGCUAUCACUCCUACGGGGAGGCAGCAGUAGGGAAUCUUCCACAAUGGGCGCAAGCCUGAUGGAGCAACACCGCGUGAGUGAAGAAGGGUUUCGGCUCGUAAAGCUCUGUUGUUAAAGAAGAACACGUAUGAGAGUAACUGUUCAUACGUUGACGGUAUUUAACCAGAAAGUCACGGCUAACUACGUGCCAGCAGCCGCGGUAAUACGUAGGUGGCAAGCGUUAUCCGGAUUUAUUGGGCGUAAAGAGAGUGCAGGCGGUUUCUAAGUCUGAUGUGAAAGCCUUCGGCUUAACCGGAGAAGUGCAUCGGAAACUGGAUAACUUGAGUGCAGAAGAGGGUAGUGGAACUCCAUGUGUAACGGUGGAAUGCGUAGAUAUAUGGAAGAACACCAGUGGCGAAGGCGGCUACCUGGUCUGCAACUGACGCUGAGACUCGAAAGCAUGGGUAGCGAACAGGAUUAGAUACCCUGGUAG